GGAUGCGUCGCUCUGCAUCUGCAUCCAAAAAAACGGGUCAAACCAAUUCAACCAACCCGAUUUCUUAUUCUCCCUCCGAUCUCUUUCGCACCGCUUCAAGUAAGGCAUCUUCAAAGGAGAUGGAACGGAUUGACAACCAGUUUUAUUUGUAUGCCAAUAUGUCGUCUGGUAUGAUUGACCCAGAAGGGAUUGAAACUCUAUGUUCUGACAUGGAAGUUGAUCACACAGAUGUUAGGAUCUUGAUGCUUGCUUGGAAAAUGAAAGCCGAAAAACAAGGAUACUUUACCCUGGAGGAAUGGCGAAGAGGAUUAAAAGCACUGAGGGCUGAUACUGUAAGUAAAUUAAAGAAGGCCCUACCGGAGCUAGAAAAAGAGGUCAGGAGGCCAUCAAACUUCGAGGAUUUCUAUUCCUAUUCAUUCUGCUAUUGCCUGACAGAGGAGAAACAAAAGAGUAUUGAUACUGAAAGCAUAUGUCAACUGCUGGAUCUUGUUUUAGGAUCCCAAUUCCGUGCGCAGGUUGACUAUUUUAUUGAGUAUUUGAAGAUUCAGAGCGAUUAUAAGGUCAUAAAUUUGGAUCAAUGGAUGGGCUUUUUUCGAUUCUGCAAUGAGAUAAAUUUCCCAGACCUCAGUAAUUAUAAUCCUGAUCUUGCUUGGCCGUUGAUCCUGGACAUCUUUGUUGAAUGGAUGCAGGCGAAGCAGAGCUAAACUCUAAUUAGCUUUGCUCAACUUGAUUCUCAGAUUUGAACUCCAUUCGGUACUAAAACAGGAAUAUUCGAGUUGCAGAACCAUGUUUCACCAGCUGGUCCUUUAUAUCUUUAUACAUCAAAACAUGAAGGUCUUCCCCAGAACAUACCUUCCAAAAUUAUUUUCAUGUCACAAAUAUGCAGAAGACAAUCUCAAUAUAUUGAAUUGUAUUUCUGUCUUGAUAUUCAAAACUAUUGGAUUUUGAUGUUAUAUUACGAAGAAAUUUAUUUACCAGAUUAAAAAGAUGUUAAAUUUGUCUGAUUUUUAUUUUGAUUUAUCUCUUUUAUAUCAAUUCCGUCCCUUUUUUCCAAGAAGGUAAAGUAUUUCUUGCAUAGAAUUUCUUUGCGGAACUAGCAACAAGUUAAUACAUGCCAAAAUCUCCCUGCAACUGGUUCCCCUGUCUCCCCAGUCUGUUUUGACAGGUAUUGGCUUCAUUAUUAGCAUGCGAGCUGAUGAUGCUAAGCACCUGCAACCCUUGAGGUUCAAGGAUGAUCCUUAAAGGAUGGAUUGUAGCAACAAUUUUCUCAUUAUCACAUCCCCCCUCUUUAAAAAGUUGAUCCAUCGCCCAAAUUGGUAAUAUUUCUUUCAUACAGCCCUGUCAAGAUCAACCGUUGUCUGUCAUAGACAACUCUUUAUGUGCCUAUAUUGACCUGUCGUUCGCAACCAGCAUUUUAAGUUA
Molecule: RNA transcript, 1422 nt
Organism: Hibiscus syriacus
Lineage: Eukaryota; Viridiplantae; Streptophyta; Magnoliopsida; Malvales; Malvaceae
Gene name: DCN1-like protein 4
Exons: 10
Source: RefSeq, a predicted model, not a curated record